GGAAUAUUGGGCAAUGGAUGCAAGUCUGACCCAGCCAUGCCGCGUGCCGGAAGAAGGCCCUCAGGGUUGUAAACGGCUUUUAUUCGGGAAGAAGAUCAGGGAUGCGUCCUUGUGUGGCGGUACCGAAUGAAUAAGCACCGGCUAACUCCGUGCAAGCAGCCGCGGUAAUACGGAGGGUGCGAGCGUUGCCCGGAUUUAUUGGGUUUAAAGGGUGCGUAGGUGGCUUUUUAAGUCAGUGGUGAAAUACAGCCGCUUAACGGUUGAGGUGCCAUUGAUACUGAGAAGCUUGAAAUAAUUGGAGGCUGCCGGAAUGGAUGGUGUAGCGGUGAAAUGCAUAGAUAUCAUCCAGAACACCGAUUGCGAAGGCAGGUGGCUACGAUUUAUUUGACACUGAGGCACGAAAGCAUGGGGAGCAAAC
Molecule: ribosomal RNA, 418 nt
Filed under: uncultured bacterium
Lineage: Bacteria
Description: bacterial SSU rRNA
Rfam family: Bacterial small subunit ribosomal RNA
Source: RNAcentral